GUCUACGACCAUACCACCCUGAACGCGCCAGAUCUUGUCUAAUCUCGGAAACUAAGAAGGGUCAGGCCUGGUUAGUACUUGGAUGGGAGACCGCCUGGGAAGAACUUAGGAGGAAAACU
Molecule: ribosomal RNA, 119 nt
Filed under: Oryctolagus cuniculus (rabbit)
Lineage: Eukaryota; Metazoa; Chordata; Mammalia; Lagomorpha; Leporidae
Source: RNAcentral